This 503-nucleotide ribosomal RNA is filed under the name Pichia kudriavzevii. RNAcentral describes it as "partial large subunit ribosomal RNA". It matches the Rfam family "Eukaryotic large subunit ribosomal RNA", at positions 103 to 628 of the family's 3401-position model. The record is from RNAcentral. Lineage: Eukaryota; Fungi; Ascomycota; Pichiomycetes; Pichiales; Pichiaceae.
AAGAGCUCAGAUUUGAAAUCGUGCUUUGCGGCACGAGUUGUAGAUUGCAGGUUGGAGUCUGUGUGGAAGGCGGUGUCCAAGUCCCUUGGAACAGGGCGCCCAGGAGGGUGAGAGCCCCGUGGGAUGCCGGCGGAAGCAGUGAGGCCCUUCUGACGAGUCGAGUUGUUUGGGAAUGCAGCUCCAAGCGGGUGGUAAAUUCCAUCUAAGGCUAAAUACUGGCGAGAGACCGAUAGCGAACAAGUACUGUGAAGGAAAGAUGAAAAGCACUUUGAAAAGAGAGUGAAACAGCACGUGAAAUUGUUGAAAGGGAAGGGUAUUGCGCCCGACAUGGGGAUUGCGCACCGCUGCCUCUCGUGGGCGGCGCUCUGGGCUUUCCCUGGGCCAGCAUCGGUUCUUGCUGCAGGAGAAGGGGUUCUGGAACGUGGCUCUUCGGAGUGUUAUAGCCAGGGCCAGAUGCUGCGUGCGGGGACCGAGGACUGCGGCCGUGUAGGUCACGGAUGCUG